UACACACCGCCCGUCACACCACGAAAGCUGGUCCCACCAGAAGUCGAUGUGCCAACCGCAAGGAGGUAGUCGCCCAAGGUGGAAUCGGUGAUUGGGGUG
This 99-nucleotide ribosomal RNA is filed under the name uncultured bacterium. RNAcentral describes it as "partial 16S ribosomal RNA". It matches the Rfam family "Bacterial small subunit ribosomal RNA", at positions 1384 to 1482 of the family's 1533-position model. The record is from RNAcentral.